RNAcentral lists this ribosomal RNA (734 nucleotides) under uncultured eukaryote. RNAcentral's name for it is "SSU rRNA". It matches the Rfam family "Eukaryotic small subunit ribosomal RNA", at positions 151 to 899 of the family's 1831-position model. The record is from RNAcentral.
AGUAACUCUAGAGCUAAUACAUGCAUCAAUCCCUGACUUCCUGGAAGGGGUGUACUUAUUAGAUGGAAACCAGUGCGGGUUCGCCCGGAUUAUGGUGAUUCAUAAUAAUUUUCGGAUCGAUCAAUUGAUCGAUGCAUCAUUCAAGUUUCUGCCCUAUCAGCUUUGGAUGGUAGGGUAUUGGCCUACCAUGGCAUUAACGGGUAACGGAGAAUUAGGGUUCGAUUCCGGAGAGGGCGCCUGAGAAACGGCGACCAGUUCCAAGGAAGGCAGCAGGCGCGUAAAUUACCCAAUCCUGACACAGGGAGGUAGUGACAAUAAAUAACAAUGUCGGGCCUUCGGGUUUGACAAUUGGAAUGAGAACAAUUUAAAUCCCUUAUCGAGGAUCAAUUGGAGGGCAAGUCUGGUGCCAGCAGCCGCGGUAAUUCCAGCUCCAAUAGCGUAUACUAAAGUUGUUGCAGUUAAAAAGCUCGUAGUUGAAUUUCUGGUUUCGGAGUGCGGUCUGCCCCGUGGGGUAAGUAUCAGCGCUCGGGAGCCAUCCUUGAGGAGAACAUGCCUGUGAUUGAGUUCAUGGGUAUGGGAGCCUCGUCUUUUACUGUGAGCAAACUAGAGUGUUCAAAGCAGGCUUACGCCGUUGAAUACAUUAGCAUGGAAUAAUAAAAUAGGACUCUGGUCUAUUUUGUUGGUUAGUACUCCAGGGUAAUGAUUAAUAGGGACAGUUGGGGGUAUUCGUAUUC